AGCUUCUCUCGGGAGCCUCCACCCAGGCGCAUGGCUCCAUGAAGCAAGAGGAGGAGGCAGAGCGCGAGAGAUCCCGUCCGCCCCAGCCGCGUCUGGGCCAGGAGAAAAGCAAAACCAUAUUCCUGCUGCUGUCAGUUUUGAUGCACUGAGAAAACUUCAGAGACCUAAGCUUUUUCCAGAGAAGAGAAGCUUUACUGGUGUUCCAGCCCUAAGAAACCUUUGUUCAACAAAACUGCAGAUGCUCUGUUGAAUCCACUGGAGAUUGUCCUGAUACUAAGGACAAGUAUGCUCAUAUGACAUUAACAGACAAGACACUUUUCAGAAAGACAGGCAACGUGUUGGACCUUCCGGAGCUUCUCAGAAGACAGAGGGUUUUCUUUUGAGGUAAAUUUGAUAGUACAUUUUGAUAGUACAGGAGGCGAUACGGCAUGGUGACAGAAAAGCGCCGGCUUGGUUAGCGGGACCACCUGGCAGGGCUGCAGGCUGUGCCACUUACCAGGCAGGGGACCUUGGGCCAGCUGCUUGGCCUCACUCACCCUGUUUCCUCAGCUGCAAUUGGGAUGAACAGACUGCCUGCUUCGGGGUUGCCUAAAACUCACAUUGCUUAAUGAUGUGAAAUGCUUAGCGCAGUGCCUGGCAUAGAGAGAAUUCUCAUUAGAUGAUACCUCAGCUGGGCUUUAGGAGCUACAGAAGAAGCUGCAUCUCCAUGAGCUCAGCGUGUUUCUAGCUUUCCUUUUUGUUUUCUAUUCAACCUUUCACCCAACUCAGCUUCUCAAUCCCUAAAUGACAAAGGUUUGGGAAGGAAGACUUGGACCGAUGCUUGCAUUUGUUUCUGAGAAUUAAACGUUAUGUUUUCUUCAAUCCAAA
RNAcentral lists this long non-coding RNA (867 nucleotides) under Homo sapiens (human). RNAcentral's name for it is "HSALNT0359027". The record is from RNAcentral. Lineage: Eukaryota; Metazoa; Chordata; Mammalia; Primates; Hominidae.